AGCCAGACUCCUACGGGAGGCAGCAGUGAGGAAUAUUGGUCAAUGGGAGAGAUCCUGAACCAGCCAAGCCGCGUGAGGGAAGACUGCCCUAUGGGUUGUAAACCUCUUUUGUCAGGGAGCAAUUGGCGCUACGUGUAGCGUUAUCGAGAGUACCUGAAGAAAAAGCAUCGGCUAACUCCGUGCCAGCAGCCGCGGUAAUACGGAGGAUGCGAGCGUUAUCCGGAUUUAUUGGGUUUAAAGGGUGCGUAGGCGGAAUGCCAAGUCAGCGGUAAAAUCGCGGGGCUCAACCUCGCUCCGCCGUUGAAACUGGCGUUCUUGAGUGGGCGAGAAGUAUGCGGAAUGCGUGGUGUAGCGGUGAAAUGCAUAGAUAUCACGCAGAACUCCGAUUGCGAAGGCAGCAUACCGGCGCCCAACUGACGCUGAAGCACGAAAGCGUGGGUAUCGAACAGGAUUAGAUACCCGGGUA
RNAcentral lists this ribosomal RNA (466 nucleotides) under uncultured bacterium. RNAcentral describes it as "bacterial SSU rRNA". It matches the Rfam family "Bacterial small subunit ribosomal RNA", at positions 329 to 792 of the family's 1533-position model. The record is from RNAcentral.